CUCUUCCUAGAGGGUGGGCCGGCUUCUGCAUCAGCGUGACAUCACCUCCAUUCAGGGCCCUUAUCGAGCACUCCGCAAUGCUCCCAGGAACCAUAGGAAACUAGAGGAAAGGGGAAACGAAAAUGAGGAACCAGCUUCCAAUUCCACCCUCUCGGACGUGUAAACAAGGGGAGAUUUUUCCCGCUGCCUUCCCCACUGGAGCUUUGGGGCCCGGCCGGGGAAAGGUAUAGGACAUGCAGCCAGUGACGGCGCAAGGAGACCUUGUUAAUAAGGCAUGGACGACCCAGAGGAGCCAAACUGAAACAAAGAAUACCAAUGCUGAGAAUCAGGGAAGGCUUUUACAAGCCCUCUGAACUGAUGAAAUGUGAAGUAAGCAGAGCCAAGAAAAUAGCAUGCCCAAUGACUACUACAAUGUAAAUGGAAAGAAUCACCAUAAAACAAUUGAAAAUGACUUACAUAAUCACUAAGAACAAACAUGACUCCAAGGAGAUGUGAGAAGACACAGAUUCCCUCACUGCUUUGCACAGAUGAAGAAACUAAGGCCCAAAGAGUCAUGUACUUGGAGUUCAAUGUCAUGUUGGUAGUGACAUGGUUAUUUGGUCACAUUGCCCAAUGGAGCCCAGGUCUUCAUGCUUCUAGCCUGAUGGUUUUUUAUUACACAAACUUGUAUGUAAAGAGAAGAAUCCCGCCUGCCGUCUGGCUCAAAGGAAGUAGCACUCUGGCUGCUCACUCCAGGUCUUCCUUCUUUGGUUUAAUGGAGACUCUGGAAAUGAACUCAGUCUCAAGGCAGGACUGUGCCAGGAUAAGACUAUAUUCCUGAAACAGUGACAGGGCUGGUUCUCUCCCUUCUUCUGCCUCCCAGUUACCAUUUAACAGCUCUUAAGCCUGUAACAUCCUAGUGUGCACCAUGCCCACACUAGACAUAUCCUAUCCACCCCUGCCCUCUCCUUACUUCAAUCAUUUGAUGACGUCAUUCUGCUCAGAGCCAGCUGUCUGGAUGGUUUAGGACAGUGGACAUCACACACAUUUUUGAGAAAUGGAUGCCCCACCUCCACCACCCUGGCUUCGGGGGCAGUAGUGACAAUGGUGCCAAAGGGAGAAGUCCUGCAGGCCCUGGGGUUGACAUUCACCUGGAGGGGUCGGGAUUCCCAGGGUGUCCAGCUCCAGUUGCUCCAGAAGCUACUUGGCCCUGUUGGAGAGGCCUGAUCCAUCCUCUUCCCUUGGUGCCUCAGCGGCAGUAUCAGGUGAAAGCUGCUGGAAACACAGCUAUUCUGGGAACAUGAUGGAACUCCAGGAAGUCUGGCACCAGCUGAAAUUUCAAACCUUUUCCCCCUCCCCUACAUGAUAUUGCAGAGUUCAAGUUAUUCUGCAAAGCCAAAGAAUUAUGGAUGGCAAGUUCGAGGGGCUGAAAAGCAGCUGUUAUUGUAUCUGAGAAACCACCUGGUGUAGUAGCUAAAGAGCUGGCCUUGCAGCCAGGAAGACCUGGGUUCAGGUCCUACCUUGGUCACGUAUUGGCUGUGUAAGGUUGGACAACUUAUUUACCCUGCUAUUUGACACCUCUAGGCUAGAGGUAUCAAACGUGAUCAUUCGUCUGUCAAUCAUCAGCUACAAUCUCAUUUGGUUAUCAUCUAUAUUUUUACCAUCUGUCUAUAAUCAUUUGUUCUCUCAUUGGUUUCUGUCUUUUUUAUCACUUGCCUUUCUAUCAGUCUAUCAUCUGUCUUUCUAUCUACCAUCUCUCUAACUAUAUCUGGCUGUUUCUUUCUAUCUAUAUCUAUCAUCUAUCUAUCUAUCUACCUAUCUAUCUUUCUGUCUAAUUUCCCCAGCAUCUAAUAGUGUUUUGCACAUAUAGGCACUUUCAAGUGAUUAUCAAAUGCAUGUGACAACAUCCAUUUCUAUCUUACAACAUUCAUUCUCUAUGACCUAGCACAAAGAACUCAGGCCCUCCUUUUCUUCAUCUGUAAAAUGUAAGGAUUGUAGUACUAAAUUCCUUUCUGAGCCCAAGUUUAUAAUCUUGAGCCUGUGAUGUGAUAUAUCAUAUGUGUUUUAUUGUUUGCUAGGAGGAGGGGUGUUCCAAGAAUACAUAGCUUGUCCCAAAAGUCUUAGUACAAUUUUAAGCUAUCAUAACUUCAGAAGUGUAAAUGCUACAAUCAAAAAACAUUAUUUGAAAGUCUCACCAUUUAAAUUUCUUUUAUACUCAUUGGGUUUUAUGAAUUUUGAACAUGUUUUCAUGUUAAUACUAUGCAUUAUACAUGUGACAUUUUCUAGGUGACACUUUCUCAUGCUCAUUGAUUGGUUAGAGGUCCUCUUAAUUGGCCACAUCAGUUUUCUGAUCUAUCACCAUUAAACUUUUUCUUGUGGAUUCACAUCAAAACUAUCAUGUAUGCAUCAAAACCUUUGUAUUUUUUUUAUAAAUUUUUUAUUCAUUUUAAACUUAAAUAUAAAACAAGAAAAGAAAAAAAAGAAUA
Phascolarctos cinereus (koala) is the source of this 2465-nucleotide long non-coding RNA. RefSeq lists it as uncharacterized. The record is from RefSeq and is a predicted model, not a curated record. NCBI's taxonomy places the organism in Eukaryota, Metazoa, Chordata, Mammalia, Diprotodontia, Phascolarctidae.